UUUGGAAGUAAAAGUCGUAACAAGGCUAAAUAUCCGCCAGAGACCGAUAGCGCACAAGUAGAGUGAUCGAAAGGUGAAAAGCACUUUGAAAAGAGGGUGAAACAGCACGUGAAAUUGUUGAAAGGGAAGCGCUUGCAACCAGAGUCGUUCGCGGGGGCUCCAUCGGCCCUCGGGCCCGGUGCACUCCCCCGCGGUCGGGCCAGCAUCAGCUCGGCCGGUCGGAUAAAGGUCGUGGGAAUGUGACACCUCCGGGUGUGUUAUAGCCCGCGGCACAAUACGGCCCGGCUGGGCUGAGGUCAGCGCCUUCAUGGCACGGAUGCUGGCGUAAUGGUUGUCAGCGGCCCGUCUUGAAACACGGACCAAGGAGUCUAACAUCUAUGCGAGUGUUCGGGUGUCAAACCCGUGAGCGGAAUGAAAGUGAACGGAGGUGGGAGCCCUCGGGCGCACCAUCGACCGAUCCUGAUGUCUUCGGAUGGAUUUGAGUAUGAGCAUAGCUGUUGGGACCCGAAAGAUGGUGAACUAUGCGUACAUAGGGUGAAGCCAGAGGAAACUCUGGUGGAGGCUCGCAGCGGUUCUGACGUGCAAAUCGAUCGU
This 594-nucleotide unclassified non-coding RNA is filed under the name Kirschsteiniothelia ebriosa. RNAcentral describes it as "Kirschsteiniothelia sp. 2 ERA-2017 sequence contains 28S rRNA gene". It matches the Rfam family "Eukaryotic large subunit ribosomal RNA", at positions 289 to 905 of the family's 3401-position model. Lineage: Eukaryota; Fungi; Ascomycota; Dothideomycetes; Kirschsteiniotheliales; Kirschsteiniotheliaceae. The record is from RNAcentral.